AUUAGACGAAUCAUCUGGAAAGAUGAAUCAAAGAAGGUAAUAAUCCUGUAGUCGAAAAUGUUGUCUCUCUUGAGUGGAUCCUGAGUACGACGGAGCACGUGAAAUUCCGUCGGAAUCUGGGAGGACCAUCUCCUAAGGCUAAAUACUCUCUAGUGACCGAUAGUGAACCAGUACCGUGAGGGAAAGGUGAAAAGCACCCCGGAAGGGGAGUGAAAUAGAACCUGAAACCGUGUGCUUACAAGUAGUCAGAGCCCGUUAAUGGGUGAUGGCGUGCCUUUUGUAGAAUGAACCGGCGAGUUACGAUUUGAUGCAAGGUUAAGCAGUAAAUGUGGAGCCGUAGCGAAAGCGAGUCUGAAUAGGGCGUUUAGUAUUUGGUCGUAGACCCGAAACCAGGUGAUCUACCCUUGGUCAGGUUGAAGUUCAGGUAACACUGAAUGGAGGACCGAACCGACUUACGUUGAAAAGUGAGCGGAUGAACUGAGGGUAGCGGAGAAAUUCCAAUCGAACCUGGAGAUAGCUGGUUCUCUCCGAAAUAGCUUUAGGGCUAGCCUCAAGUGAUGAUUAUUGGAGGUAGAGCACUGUUUGGACGAGGGGCCCCUCUCGGGUUACCGAAUUCAGACAAACUCCGAAUGCCAAUUAAUUUAACUUGGGAGUCAGAACAUGGGUGAUAAGGUCCGUGUUCGAAAGGGAAACAGCCCAGACCACCAGCUAAGGUCCCAAAAUAUAUGUUAAGUGGAAAAGGAUGUGGCGUUGCCCAGACAACUAGGAUGUUGGCUUAGAAGCAGCCAUCAUUUAAAGAGUGCGUAAUAGCUCACUAGUCGAGUGACACUGCGCCGAAAAUGUACCGGGGCUAAACAUAUUACCGAAGCUGUGGAUUGUCCUUUGGACAAUGGUAGGAGAGCGUUC
RNAcentral lists this ribosomal RNA (906 nucleotides) under Staphylococcus aureus. Its description in RNAcentral is "partial 23S ribosomal RNA". It matches the Rfam family "Bacterial large subunit ribosomal RNA", at positions 328 to 1241 of the family's 2925-position model. The record is from RNAcentral. Lineage: Bacteria; Bacillati; Bacillota; Bacilli; Caryophanales; Staphylococcaceae.